GCAGCAGUGGGGAAUUUUGGACAAUGGGCGCAAGCCUGAUCCAGCCAUGCCGCGUGCAGGAUGAAGGCCUUCGGGUUGUAAACUGCUUUUGUACGGAACGAAAAGACUCUGGUUAAUACCUGGGGUCCAUGACGGUACCGUAAGAAUAAGCACCGGCUAACUACGUGCCAGCAGCCGCGGUAAUACGUAGGGUGCGAGCGUUAAUCGGAAUUACUGGGCGUAAAGCGUGCGCAGGCGGUUAUAUAAGACAGAUGUGAAAUCCCCGGGCUCAACCUGGGAACUGCAUUUGUGACUGUAUAGCUAGAGUACGGCAGAGGGGGAUGGAAUUCCGCGUGUAGCAGUGAAAUGCGUAGAUAUGCGGAGGAACACCGAUGGCGAAGGCAAUCCCCUGGGCCUGUACUGACGCUCAUGCACGAAAGCGUGGGGAGCAAACAGGAUUAGAUACCCUGGUAGUCCACGCCCUAAACGAUGUCAACUGGUUGUUGGGUCUUCAUUCACUCAGUGACGCAGGUACCGUU
Molecule: ribosomal RNA, 518 nt
Filed under: uncultured beta proteobacterium
Lineage: Bacteria; Pseudomonadati; Pseudomonadota; Betaproteobacteria
Description: bacterial SSU rRNA
Rfam family: Bacterial small subunit ribosomal RNA
Source: RNAcentral